GGGCCCGUAGUGUAGCCAUCCUUGCGCGAAAGGCCGCGCGGGACUGCAAUGGAUAUCACUGAGGCCUCCGGAGCCUCGGACCCGGGUUCGAAUCCCGGCGGGCCCG
Molecule: transfer RNA, 106 nt
Filed under: Methanobacteriota archaeon
Lineage: Archaea; Methanobacteriati; Methanobacteriota
Description: Euryarchaeota archaeon (groundwater metagenome) tRNA-Arg
Rfam family: tRNA (bases 40-106)
About the family: Transfer RNA (tRNA) molecules are approximately 80 nucleotides in length. Their secondary structure includes four short double-helical elements and three loops (D, anti-codon, and T loops).
Source: RNAcentral